This 1434-nucleotide ribosomal RNA is filed under the name uncultured bacterium. RNAcentral's name for it is "bacterial SSU rRNA". It matches the Rfam family "Bacterial small subunit ribosomal RNA". The record is from RNAcentral.
GACGAACGCUGGCGGCACGCUUAACACAUGCAAGUCGAACGAGAGAAGAGAAGCUUGCUUUUCUGAUCUAGUGGCGGACGGGUGAGUAACACGUGAGCAAUCUGCCUCUCAGAGGGGGAUACCGAUUGGAAACGAUCGUUAAUACCGCAUAAUAUAAUUGAACCGCAUGAUUUGAUUAUCAAAGAUUUAUCGCUGAAAGAUGAGCUCGCGUCUGAUUAGCUAGUUGGUAAGGUAACGGCUUACCAAGGCGACGAUCAGUAGCCGGACUGAGAGGUUGAUCGGCCACAUUGGGACUGAGACACGGCCCAGACUCCUACGGGAGGCAGCAGUGGGGAAUAUUGCACAAUGGAGGAAACUCUGAUGCAGCGAUGCCGCGUGAGGGAAGAAGGUUUUAGGAUUGUAAACCUCUGUCUUCAGGGACGAAAAAAGACGGUACCUGAGGAGGAAGCUCCGGCUAACUACGUGCCAGCAGCCGCGGUAAUACGUAGGGAGCGAGCGUUGUCCGGAAUUACUGGGUGUAAAGGGAGCGUAGGCGGGAUCGCAAGUCAGAUGUGAAAACUAUGGGCUUAACCCAUAAACUGCAUUUGAAACUGUGGUUCUUGAGUGAAGUAGAGGUAAGCGGAAUUCCUAGUGUAGCGGUGAAAUGCGUAGAUAUUAGGAGGAACAUCAGUGGCGAAGGCGGCUUACUGGGCUUUAACUGACGCUGAGGCUCGAAAGCGUGGGGAGCAAACAGGAUUAGAUACCCUGGUAGUCCACGCCGUAAACGAUGAUUACUAGGUGUGGGGGGACUGACCCCUUCCGUGCCGCAGCAAACGCAAUAAGUAAUCCACCUGGGGAGUACGACCGCAAGGUUGAAACUCAAAGGAAUUGACGGGGGCCCGCACAAGCAGUGGAGUAUGUGGAUUAAUUCGAAGCAACGCGAAGAACCUUACCAGGUCUUGACAUCGUAUGCAUAGCUCAGAGAUGAGUGAAAUCUCUUCGGAGACAUAUAGACAGGUGGUGCAUGGUUGUCGUCAGCUCGUGUCGUGAGAUGUUGGGUUAAGUCCCGCAACGAGCGCAACCCUUACUGUUAGUUGCUACGCAAGAGCACUCUAGCAGGACUGCCGUUGACAAAACGGAGGAAGGUGGGGAUGACGUCAAAUCAUCAUGCCCCUUAUGACCUGGGCCUCACACGUACUACAAUGGCUGUCAACAGAGGGAAGCAAAGCCGCGAGGUGGAGCGAACCCCUAAAAGCAGUCUUAGUUCGGAUUGUAGGCUGCAACCCGCCUACAUGAAGUCGGAAUUGCUAGUAAUCGCAGAUCAGCAUGCUGCGGUGAAUACGUUCCCGGGCCUUGUACACACCGCCCGUCACGCCAUGGGAGUCGGUAACACCCGAAGCCUGUAGUCUAACCGCAAGGAGGACGCAGUCGAAGGUGGGAUUGAUGACUGGGGUG